This 524-nucleotide ribosomal RNA is filed under the name uncultured bacterium. Its description in RNAcentral is "partial 16S ribosomal RNA". It matches the Rfam family "Bacterial small subunit ribosomal RNA", at positions 28 to 523 of the family's 1533-position model. The record is from RNAcentral.
GACGAACGCUGGCGGCGUGCCUAAUACAUGCAAGUCGAACGAAGCUGUUUUAACUGGUGCUUGCACCGACUUAAACAACUGAGUGGCGAACGGGUGAGUAACACGUGGGUAACCUGCCCCAAAGCGGGGGAUAACAUUUGGAAACAGAUGCUAAUACCGCAUAACCACAGAAACCACAUGGUUUCUGUGUCAAAGAUGGUUUCGGCUAUCACUUUGGGAUGGACCCGCGGCGUAUUAGCUAGUUGGUAAGGUAAUGGCUUACCAAGGCAAUGAUACGUAGCCGAACUGAGAGGUUGAUCGGCCACAUUGGGACUGAGACACGGCCCAAACUCCUACGGGAGGCAGCAGUAGGGAAUCUUCCACAAUGGACGAAAGUCUGAUGGAGCAACGCCGCGUGAGUGAAGAAGGUUUUCGGAUCGUAAAACUCUGUUGUCAGAGAAGAACGUGUGCGAGAGUAACUGCUCGUGCAGUGACGGUAUCUGGCCAGAAAGCCACGGCUAACUACGUGCCAGCAGCCGCCGCGG